AUGGGCGAAGGCCUGAACCAGCCAAGUAGCGUGCAGGAUGACGGCCUAUGGGUUGUAAACUGCUUUUAUGCGGGGAUAAAGUUGGCCACGUGUGGCCAUUUGCAGGUACCGCAUGAAUAAGGACCGGCUAAUUCCGUGCCAGCAGCCGCGGUAAUACGGAAGGUCCGGGCGUUAUCCGGAUUUAUUGGGUUUAAAGGGAGCGUGGGCCGCGCCUUAAGCGUGUUGUGAAAUGCGGGUGCUCAACAUCCGACUUGCAGCGCGAACUGGGGUGCUUGAGUGCGCCGAAAGUAGGCGGAAUUCGUGGUGUAGCGGUGAAAUGCUUAGAUAUCACGAAGAACUCCGAUUGCGAAGGCAGCUUACUGUAGCGCAACUGACGCUGAUGCUCGAGAGCGUGGGUAUCGAACAGGAUUAGAUACCCUGGUAGUCCACGCGGUAAACGAUGGAUGCUCGUUGUCGGCCUCGGGUCGGUGACCAGCGAAAGCGUUAAGCAUCCACCUGGGGAGUACGC
RNAcentral lists this ribosomal RNA (508 nucleotides) under Prevotella sp. oral taxon H59. RNAcentral describes it as "bacterial SSU rRNA". It matches the Rfam family "Bacterial small subunit ribosomal RNA", at positions 371 to 885 of the family's 1533-position model. Lineage: Bacteria; Pseudomonadati; Bacteroidota; Bacteroidia; Bacteroidales; Prevotellaceae. The record is from RNAcentral.